This 1015-nucleotide ribosomal RNA is filed under the name Staphylococcus aureus. RNAcentral's name for it is "bacterial SSU rRNA". It matches the Rfam family "Bacterial small subunit ribosomal RNA", at positions 17 to 1013 of the family's 1533-position model. The record is from RNAcentral. Lineage: Bacteria; Bacillati; Bacillota; Bacilli; Caryophanales; Staphylococcaceae.
UCCUGGCUCAGGAUGAACGCUGGCGGCGUGCCUAAUACAUGCAAGUCGAGCGAACGGACGAGAAGCUUGCUUCUCUGAUGUUAGCGGCGGACGGGUGAGUAACACGUGGAUAACCUACCUAUAAGACUGGGAUAACUUCGGGAAACCGGAGCUAAUACCGGAUAAUAUUUUGAACCGCAUGGUUCAAAAGUGAAAGACGGUCUUGCUGUCACUUAUAGAUGGAUCCGCGCUGCAUUAGCUAGUUGGUAAGGUAACGGCUUACCAAGGCAACGAUGCAUAGCCGACCUGAGAGGGUGAUCGGCCACACUGGAACUGAGACACGGUCCAGACUCCUACGGGAGGCAGCAGUAGGGAAUCUUCCGCAAUGGGCGAAAGCCUGACGGAGCAACGCCGCGUGAGUGAUGAAGGUCUUCGGAUCGUAAAACUCUGUUAUUAGGGAAGAACAUAUGUGUAAGUAACUGUGCACAUCUUGACGGUACCUAAUCAGAAAGCCACGGCUAACUACGUGCCAGCAGCCGCGGUAAUACGUAGGUGGCAAGCGUUAUCCGGAAUUAUUGGGCGUAAAGCGCGCGUAGGCGGUUUUUUAAGUCUGAUGUGAAAGCCCACGGCUCAACCGUGGAGGGUCAUUGGAAACUGGAAAACUUGAGUGCAGAAGAGGAAAGUGGAAUUCCAUGUGUAGCGGUGAAAUGCGCAGAGAUAUGGAGGAACACCAGUGGCGAAGGCGACUUUCUGGUCUGUAACUGACGCUGAUGUGCGAAAGCGUGGGGAUCAAACAGGAUUAGAUACCCUGGUAGUCCACGCCGUAAACGAUGAGUGCUAAGUGUUAGGGGGUUUCCGCCCCUUAGUGCUGCAGCUAACGCAUUAAGCACUCCGCCUGGGGAGUACGACCGCAAGGUUGAAACUCAAAGGAAUUGACGGGGACCCGCACAAGCGGUGGAGCAUGUGGUUUAAUUCGAAGCAACGCGAAGAACCUUACCAAAUCUUGACAUCCUUUGACAACUCUAGAGAUAGAGCC